Molecule: long non-coding RNA, 432 nt
Filed under: Sorghum bicolor (sorghum)
Lineage: Eukaryota; Viridiplantae; Streptophyta; Magnoliopsida; Poales; Poaceae
Description: long non-coding RNA (SBIC_LNC009743)
Source: RNAcentral
CAGCAUACGAUUGUUCAGACAACUAAAACAUACGACUUAAACUAAAAUUCAGAUAGCUUUGAGCCAACAUACGGCUGGUACUUAGAUAUCAAACUAAAAUUCAGAUAGCUUUAAGCCAACAUACUGCAAGAUCAGACUGCCUUCAACCUGCAGCCUUGCUUUCAGAUAGCCUCCAGCCUUGCCUUCAUCCUGCAGAAACAAAAAAAAACAGUUCAGAAUAGUUAGAGACAUUCAGUAGUGCAGGAUCAGAUCACACAUGAAGUGCAGUUAAAUUUUUAAGGUAGAUAAAUAACUACAAAUGAUAACCAAUAUUGAUAAAGAUAGUUACAAGUACCAGGUAUAUGUGCACGGUCACCAAACUUAUUCCAAAUAUGUUCCAGCAAAUCAUUCUUAAGUCGGCGAUGAGCCGAUUUAUCGCGAAUAGAAGUGUCU